GCUUACGGCCACACCACCUGAGUGCAUCCAAUCUUGUCUGGUCUCAGAAGCUAAGCAGGGUUGGGCCUGGUUAGUACUUGGAUGGGAGAAAGAUCUUCAGAGGAGCCUGCUCAGAGACAAGCA
This 123-nucleotide ribosomal RNA is filed under the name Castor canadensis (American beaver). The record is from RNAcentral. Lineage: Eukaryota; Metazoa; Chordata; Mammalia; Rodentia; Castoridae.